AACGAACGCUGGCGGCAGGCCUAACACAUGCAAGUCGAGCGAGCAUUUCGGUGCUAGCGGCGGACGGGUGAGUAACGCGUGGGAACGUGCCCUUUUCUGCGGAAUAGUCCUGGGAAACUGGGGGUAAUACCGCAUACGCCCUUUUGGGGAAAGAUUUAUCGAAGAAGGAUCGGCCCGCGUUGGAUUAGGUAGUUGGUGGGGUAAUGGCCCACCAAGCCGACGAUCCGUAGCUGGUUUGAGAGGAUGAUCAGCCACACUGGGACUGAGACACGGCCCAGACUCCUACGGGAGGCAGCAGUGGGGAAUCUUAGACAAUGGGGGCAACCCUGAUCUAGCCAUGCCGCGUGAGUGAUGAAGGCCUUAGGGUUGUAAAGCUCUUUCAGCUGGGAAGAUAAUGACGGUACCAGCAGAAGAAGCCCCGGCUAACUCCGUG
This 433-nucleotide ribosomal RNA is filed under the name uncultured bacterium. Its description in RNAcentral is "partial 16S ribosomal RNA". It matches the Rfam family "Bacterial small subunit ribosomal RNA", at positions 29 to 507 of the family's 1533-position model. The record is from RNAcentral.